Molecule: ribosomal RNA, 460 nt
Filed under: uncultured bacterium
Lineage: Bacteria
Description: partial 16S ribosomal RNA
Rfam family: Bacterial small subunit ribosomal RNA
Source: RNAcentral
CCUACGGGAGGCAGCAGUGAGGAAUAUUGGUCAAUGGGCGCGAGCCUGAACCAGCCAAGUAGCGUGCAGGAUGACUGCCCUACGGGUUGUAAACUUCUUUUAUACAGGAAUAAAGUGAGGCACGUGUGACUUUUUGUAUGUACUUUAUGAAUAAGGAUCGGCUAACUCCGUGCCAGCAGCCGCGGUAAUACGGAGGAUCCGAGCGUUAUCCGGAUUUAUUGGGUUUAAAGGGAGCGUAGAUGGGUUGUUAAGUCAGUUGUGAAAGGUUGCGGCUCAACCGUAAAAUUGCAAGUGAUACUGUCAGUCUUGAGUACAGUUGAGGUAGGCGGAAUGCGUGGUGUAGCGGUGAAAUGCGUAGAGAGCACGAAGAACUCCGAUUGCGAAGGCAGCUUACUAAACUGCCACUGACAUUGAUGCUCGAAAGUGUGGGUAUCAAACAGGAUUAGAUACCCCUGUAGUC